AUGCAAGUCGAACGCACAGCGAAAGGUGCUUGCACCUUUCAAGUGAGUGGCGAACGGGUGAGUAACACGUGGACAACCUGCCUCAAGGCUGGGGAUAACAUUUGGAAACAGAUGCUAAUACCGAAUAAAACUUAGUGUCGCAUGAUACAAAGUUAAAAGGCGCUUCGGCGUCACCUAGAGAUGGAUCCGCGGUGCAUUAGUUAGUUGGUGGGGUAAAGGCCUACCAAGACGAUGAUGCAUAGCCGAGUUGAGAGACUGAUCGGCCACAUUGGGACUGAGACACGGCCCAAACUCCUACGGGAGGCUGCAGUAGGGAAUCUUCCACAAUGGGCGAAAGCCUGAUGGAGCAACGCCGCGUGUGUGAUGAAGGCUUUCGGGUCGUAAAGCACUGUUGUAUGGGAAGAACAGCUAGAAUAGGAAAUGAUUUUAGUUUGACGGUACCAUACCAGAAAGGGACGGCUAAAUACGUGCCAGCAGCCGCGGUAAUACGUAUGUCCCGAGCGUUAUCCGGAUUUAUUGGGCGUAAAGCGAGCGCAGACGGUUUAUUAAGUCUGAUGUGAAAGCCCGGAGCUCAACUCCGGAAUUGCAUUGGAAACUGGUUAACUUGAGUGCAGUAGAGGUAAGUGGAACUCCAUGUGUAGCGGUGGAAUGCGUAGAUAUAUGGAAGAACACCAGUGGCGAAGGCGGCUUACUGGACUGCAACUGACGUUGAGGCUCGAAAGUGUGGGUAGCAAACAGGAUUAGAUACCCUGGUAGUCCACACCGUAAACGAUGAACACUAGGUGUUAGGAGGUUUCCGCCUCUUAGUGCCGAAGCUAACGCAUUAAGUGUUCCGCCUGGGGAGUACGACCGCAAGGUUGAAACUCAAAGGAAUUGACGGGGACCCGCCAAGCGGUGGA
This 899-nucleotide ribosomal RNA is filed under the name Leuconostoc mesenteroides. Its description in RNAcentral is "bacterial SSU rRNA". It matches the Rfam family "Bacterial small subunit ribosomal RNA", at positions 55 to 936 of the family's 1533-position model. Lineage: Bacteria; Bacillati; Bacillota; Bacilli; Lactobacillales; Lactobacillaceae. The record is from RNAcentral.